CUUCUUGAAGAUGACCCUUGAAAGGACUAGAUUGGCGGAGCCGGGCAACCGGCUACGUCGGUAGACGAUCGGGUGGAAUAAGCAUUUCGGACCCGGGGGCAGUACCCCGGCGCCUCCACCAGCAGCGGCGGGACGCGAGCGGGGUUCCGCCGUUGCUGAUGGGGCGAAACAGGAUCGACGAGUGCGGUAAAGGCCCGGUUGCCGAUCGGUAUGAGACCACCGCAACGGCUCAUUUCACAAGUGCCAACGAUAACGAGGCGCUCGCAAUUGCUGCGUAACUGACGGCCUAACGGUCUGAAGUUACAAUGACAAAAGCGCGGUCGGACCCCACCGGGCAACAGAAGGGGAUUCCA
This 353-nucleotide transfer-messenger RNA is filed under the name Sphingomonas sp. HDW15A. RNAcentral's name for it is "Alphaproteobacteria transfer-messenger RNA". It matches the Rfam family "Alphaproteobacteria transfer-messenger RNA". From Rfam's summary of the family: Bacterial tmRNA, also known as 10Sa RNA or SsrA, is named for its dual tRNA and mRNA-like properties. Its role is to liberate the mRNA from a stalled ribosome. To accomplish this part of the tmRNA is used as a reading frame that ends in a translation stop signal. The record is from Rfam by way of RNAcentral. Lineage: Bacteria; Pseudomonadati; Pseudomonadota; Alphaproteobacteria; Sphingomonadales; Sphingomonadaceae.